GGGGCGGUGUACGAGGGGGGGUCAAAGAAGGGAGGGAAGGUAUUGCAUCCAGAUGGAGAAGAUAAAGCUUCACACUGAAUCCCUCCUCUCUCCUCCUCCACCUACCUCCUUACUGUGUUUCCUCCCCCCUCGUGUGCGUCUCUCUGUGUGUGAGUGUGUUUCUUUGCUGUCCUCAUCUCGGUUUGCAGGUUAUUGAGGUUCUUUUGGACGUAGACUCUUGAAACAGAACUCUGCAAUGAUGGAACAUUUGAAAUUAAGUACAAAGUUGUUACUGCGGCUGCUUUUUCUGGAAUGUAAUAAAUUGAAUUGUCAAGACUUUGAACGAGGAAUAUUCAAAUUAGAUUUUAUUCUACCUGAUUUCAGAUAAAGGCGUACAACUUCCAAGAACAUCUGGAUGUGACUUAAUCUGCAGUCUAGACUUUGGUUUGGGCUUAAAAUAAUUCCCGUCUUUACAGGUGGCGCUGGUGAUGUUUGUGCUGGAUGUUGUGUUGCUUUUUCAUGCUUCUUGGACCAGCUGGCUUCUCACUCGUCAUCCCUUCUUCUAAAAGGACGAACGAGGUCCUGGAGGCGGCGACACAAAGAGCAACAGAAGCGACGCUAACAGAAGCUCGUUGAGCGGCGCCCGUCUGCUCCACACGGUUGAAAUGCUCCUCCGAUGAAGCUGCUCAGAGGAACGAGGAGCUGAGCUCAAGGACUCGCGUGGAAAAGCUUCCCGGGACGACGCGACUUCACAGAGGAAAAAACGCUUUUCCAUCAGCGCUGCUUCGGAAAGUUUAAAACCCCCAAAAGCAAAACCUUCUCUCCUCAGUAAUGUUUGAGAGGCUUUAAGGCUGUGAAUGCUGUGGACAAAAUCAAGUCCUUAUUGGAAAAAUAAAAGGAUUUUCUUUAUAAAAUUUGGGGGUGGAGCCUAAAUGUUGUUGAGGACAACGUAAAAGCAGCGACGUGUGACUUAGAACUCGUAGGUGAGGGUUCAUUUAACGGGAAAUGGCUUUAGAGUACGAUAAGGGUCCAACAUCUAGAGCACCGGCCCCCAUUGACUCCCACCUUUAACGUAACACCACAAAUAAAAGGGUUUUGGUUUCCUCAGCUGAUAUUCCUGUUCACGCACGUUUCAAACAUCAAUAAAGAAACUUCAGUGGGAUUUUUGUAUGUUACUGAAAUAAGUAUUCUAAAGAAACAGGUCCGACUGUUUGAGUACCUACUUUGUUAGAGAAUACACAAAUACAUGAAACACCAGAAACUCAAUCAGAACAAAUGCAAAGAUGAUCAUUUGCAAACAGCAGGUAAUUAACAC
This is a long non-coding RNA of Gasterosteus aculeatus aculeatus (three-spined stickleback), 1294 nucleotides long. NCBI's taxonomy places the organism in Eukaryota, Metazoa, Chordata, Actinopteri, Perciformes, Gasterosteidae. The record is from Ensembl.